AGCGUACACGGUGGAUGCCCUGGCAGUCAGAGGCGAUGAAGGACGUGCUAAUCUGCGAUAAGCGUCGGUAAGGUGAUAUGAACCGUUAUAACCGGCGAUUUCCGAAUGGGGAAACCCAGUGUGAUUCGUCACACUAUCAUUAACUGAAUCCAUAGGUUAAUGAGGCGAACCGGGGGAACUGAAACAUCUAAGUACCCCGAGGAAAAGAAAUCAACCGAGAUUCCCCCAGUAGCGGCGAGCGAACGGGGAGCAGCCCAGAGCCUGAAUCAGUGUGUGUGUUAGUGGAAGCGUCUGGAAAGGCGCGCGAUACAGGGUGACAGCCCCGUACACAAAAAUGCACAUACUGUGAGCUCGAUGAGUAGGGCGGGACACGUGGUAUCCUGUCUGAAUAUGGGGGGACCAUCCUCCAAGGCUAAAUACUCCUGACUGACCGAUAGUGAACCAGUACCGUGAGGGAAAGGCGAAAAGAACCCCGGCGAGGGGAGUGAAAAAGAACCUGAAACCGUGUACGUACAAGCAGUGGGAGCACGCUUAGGCGUGUGACUGCGUACCUUUUGUAUAAUGGGUCAGCGACUUAUAUUCUGUAGCAAGGUUAACCGAAUAGGGGAGCCGAAGGGAAACCGAGUCUUAACUGGGCGUUAAGUUGCAGGGUAUAGACCCGAAACCCGGUGAUCUAGCCAUGGGCAGGUUGAAGGUUGGGUAACACUAACUGGAGGACCGAACCGACUAAUGUUGAAAAAUUAGCGGAUGACUUGUGGCUGGGGGUGAAAGGCCAAUCAAACCGGGAGAUAGCUGGUUCUCCCCGAAAGCUAUUUAGGUAGCGCCUCGUGAAUUCAUCUCCGGGGGUAGAGCACUGUUUCGGCAAGGGGGUCAUCCCGACUUACCAACCCGAUGCAAACUGCGAAUACCGGAGAAUGUUAUCACGGGAGACACACGGCGGGUGCUAACGUCCGUCGUGAAGAGGGAAACAACCCAGACCGCCAGCUAAGGUCCCAAAGUCAUGGUUAAGUGGGAAACGAUGUGGGAAGGCCCAGACAGCCAGGAUGUUGGCUUAGAAGCAGCCAUCAUUUAAAGAAAGCGUAAUAGCUCACUGGUCGAGUCGGCCUGCGCGGAAGAUGUAACGGGGCUAAACCAUGCACCGAAGCUGCGGCAGCGACGCUUAUGUGUUGUUGGGUAGGGGAGCGUUCUGUAAGCCUGUGAAGGUGUGCUGUGAGGUAUGCUGGAGGUAUCAGAAGUGCGAAUGCUGACAUAAGUAACGAUAAAGCGGGUGAAAAGCCCGCUCGCCGGAAGACCAAGGGUUCCUGUCCAACGUUAAUCGGGGCAGGGUGAGUCGACCCCUAAGGCGAGGCCGAAAGGCGUAGUCGAUGGGAAACAGGUUAAUAUUCCUGUACUUGGUGUUACUGCGAAGGGGGGACGGAGAAGGCUAUGUUGGCCGGGCGACGGUUGUCCCGGUUUAAGCGUGUAGGCUGGUUUUCCAGGCAAAUCCGGAAAAUCAAGGCUGAGGCGUGAUGACGAGGCACUACGGUGCUGAAGCAACAAAUGCCCUGCUUCCAGGAAAAGCCUCUAAGCAUCAGGUAACAUCAAAUCGUACCCCAAACCGACACAGGUGGUCAGGUAGAGAAUACCAAGGCGCUUGAGAGAACUCGGGUGAAGGAACUAGGCAAAAUGGUGCCGUAACUUCGGGAGAAGGCACGCUGAUAUGUAGGUGAAGUCCCUCGCGGAUGGAGCUGAAAUCAGUCGAAGAUACCAGCUGGCUGCAACUGUUUAUUAAAAACACAGCACUGUGCAAACACGAAAGUGGACGUAUACGGUGUGACGCCUGCCCGGUGCCGGAAGGUUAAUUGAUGGGGUCAGCGCAAGCGAAGCUCUUGAUCGAAGCCCCGGUAAACGGCGGCCGUAACUAUAACGGUCCUAAGGUAGCGAAAUUCCUUGUCGGGUAAGUUCCGACCUGCACGAAUGGCGUAAUGAUGGCCAGGCUGUCUCCACCCGAGACUCAGUGAAAUUGAACUCGCUGUGAAGAUGCAGUGUACCCGCGGCAAGACGGAAAGACCCCGUGAACCUUUACUAUAGCUUGACACUGAACAUUGAGCCUUGAUGUGUAGGAUAGGUGGGAGGCUUUGAAGUGUGGACGCCAGUCUGCAUGGAGCCGACCUUGAAAUACCACCCUUUAAUGUUUGAUGUUCUAACGUUGACCCGUAAUCCGGGUUGCGGACAGUGUCUGGUGGGUAGUUUGACUGGGGCGGUCUCCUCCUAAAGAGUAACGGAGGAGCACGAAGGUUGGCUAAUCCUGGUCGGACAUCAGGAGGUUAGUGCAAUGGCAUAAGCCAGCUUGACUGCGAGCGUGACGGCGCGAGCAGGUGCGAAAGCAGGUCAUAGUGAUCCGGUGGUUCUGAAUGGAAGGGCCAUCGCUCAACGGAUAAAAGGUACUCCGGGGAUAACAGGCUGAUACCGCCCAAGAGUUCAUAUCGACGGCGGUGUUUGGCACCUCGAUGUCGGCUCAUCACAUCCUGGGGCUGAAGUAGGUCCCAAGGGUAUGGCUGUUCGCCAUUUAAAGUGGUACGCGAGCUGGGUUUAGAACGUCGUGAGACAGUUCGGUCCCUAUCUGCCGUGGGCGCUGGAGAACUGAGGGGGGCUGCUCCUAGUACGAGAGGACCGGAGUGGACGCAUCACUGGUGUUCGGGUUGUCAUGCCAAUGGCACUGCCCGGUAGCUAAAUGCGGAAGAGAUAAGUGCUGAAAGCAUCUAAGCACGAAACUUGCCCCGAGAUGAGUUCUCCCUGACUCCUUGA
This 2787-nucleotide ribosomal RNA is filed under the name Escherichia coli. RNAcentral's name for it is "bacterial LSU rRNA". It matches the Rfam family "Bacterial large subunit ribosomal RNA". Lineage: Bacteria; Pseudomonadati; Pseudomonadota; Gammaproteobacteria; Enterobacterales; Enterobacteriaceae. The record is from RNAcentral.